UCCCUCGUGGCGCAAUUGGCUAGCGCGUUCGACUGUUAGUCUCUAGAGUACCGGCCGGUGCAUGUCUGCGAUCGAGAGGUUGGUGGUUCGAGCCCACCCGAGGGAG
Molecule: transfer RNA, 106 nt
Filed under: Drepanopeziza brunnea f. sp. 'multigermtubi' MB_m1
Lineage: Eukaryota; Fungi; Ascomycota; Leotiomycetes; Helotiales; Drepanopezizaceae
Description: Marssonina brunnea f. sp. 'multigermtubi' MB_m1 tRNA
Rfam family: tRNA
About the family: Transfer RNA (tRNA) molecules are approximately 80 nucleotides in length.
Source: Rfam by way of RNAcentral